This 757-nucleotide long non-coding RNA is filed under the name Cicer arietinum (chickpea). RNAcentral's name for it is "long non-coding RNA (CARI_LNC001755)". Lineage: Eukaryota; Viridiplantae; Streptophyta; Magnoliopsida; Fabales; Fabaceae. The record is from RNAcentral.
GCAGGAACUCUAUGCUCUAAUGUUAAUCAACAUGCCUACAACCAAAGGAGAGAGUAAAACCCAAAGUCAAGACAAGCAGCUUGAUGCUGAGGGAGAAGAUGGCAACGAGGAUGAAGACGACGAAGAAGAUGAUGAUGGAGAUGGUGCAUUUGGAGAAGGAGAAGAGGAAUUGUCAUCUGAAGAUGGAGGUGGAUAUGGCAACAAUUCCAACAAUAAGAGCAACUCAAAGAAGACUCCUGAAGGUGGUGCUGGUGGGGCAGAUGAAAAUGGAGAAGAGGAAGACGAUGAAGAUGGUGAAGGUGAUGACCAUGAUGAAGAUGACGAUGAGGACGAGGACGACGAAGAAGAGGAUGAGGUCGGAGAAGAGGACGAAGAAGAUGGUGUUGAAGAAGAGAAUGAAGAGGAAGAAGAAGACGAAGAUGAGGAAGCCUUGCAGCCACCAAAGAAAAGGAAGAAGUGAAUUUAGCUUAGUCAAGCCUCCUUUUGUAUUGUUGUGUACGAAUUUGGCUUCUAACUUCCCAUGAUGUUUUUUUUAAGUAUUAAACUUCUAUGUUCUUGUUUUCUUUAUAAGGAGGCCUAUGUAGGACAUGUUUUAAUUGAUAUCUGUGUUUACCAUUGCGUAAUUAGAAUUCUACAUUAUGUUGAGCAGUCAGUCUUAAAUUUACAAGACAGAAAAAAUAAUGAUCCUAGUUAAUUUUAACGUGACUUUUCUCACUUCACCAACUUCUGUAAUUUGUUUAUGUUCUACUACAGUUCC